UGGCGAGGUAGCUCAGUCGGUUGGAGCGCGGGAUUCAUAACCCCGAGGUCGCGGGUUCAAUUCCCGCCUUCGCCAUC
Molecule: transfer RNA, 77 nt
Filed under: uncultured archaeon
Lineage: Archaea
Description: tRNA-Met(cat)
Rfam family: tRNA
About the family: Transfer RNA (tRNA) molecules are approximately 80 nucleotides in length.
Source: RNAcentral